AACUUUCAACAAUGGAUCUCUUGGCUCUGGCAUCGAUGAAGAACGCAGCGAAAUGCGAUAAGUAGUGUGAAUUGCAGAANUCAGUGAAUCAUCGAAUCUUUGAACGCACAUUGCGCCCCUUGGUAUUCCAUGGGGCAUGCCUGUUCGAGCGUCAUCUACACCCUCAAGCUCUGCUUGGUGUUGGGCGUCUGUCCCGCCUCCGCGCGUUGGACUCGCCCCAAAUUCAUUGGCAGCGUUUCCUUGCCCCCCUCUCGCG
This 256-nucleotide ribosomal RNA is filed under the name 'Aporospora terricola' (nom. ined.). Its description in RNAcentral is "Aporospora terricola 5.8S ribosomal RNA". The stretch from base 1 to 154 matches the Rfam family "5.8S ribosomal RNA". From Rfam's summary of the family: 5.8S ribosomal RNA (5.8S rRNA) is a component of the large subunit of the eukaryotic ribosome. Lineage: Eukaryota; Fungi; Ascomycota. The record is from RNAcentral.